CUUUCCAAUACCGAAUGUCAUUUCCUUGCUGAUCCAGGACCCUCGUUCGAAGUAAGAGUGGAACUGCCGUCGAAUUCAACCGAUAACGAGCCAUGAAACAGGGCAGUUCCAGAGGUUUUCUACCAAUUCAGCCGCCGUGAACCCCUGCCUGAGAGAGCGCGCGGGAGCGCAGGACAUCCCAGGAACCAUCGGAUUAUCCGCUCAGUCUCUUUGAGGAUGAAGCAGUUAUUCUAACCAAUUUACGCUGGAAGUGGAGCUAGCAAUUAUUAUCGCUGGCAAUGCAGGUCUUUGAAUGCAACAUUGGUGGGGAACUACACCACGAGAGGCCUGCUGUUGGGAGAUUGAUUGACUAUGGACGCUCUCUUGCUGUGGAAGUGGGGGCGUUUGUGUGAGGAAAUUCCGUCAUCAUUGCUGUCUUUUUAUUUUUAUAUUAUUUUUAUCUGGACGCGUACCCUCGUGAUAUUUGUCUGUCGCUAAAGAUGGAAUGCUGAACUGAAGAGGGGUAGCAGAGAACGGCAUCAGCUUGGGGAUGCACCGUUUGAAACACUGCCCUGUCAUUGGCUGAGACGAGAGUGAUAUGGAAGAUGAAGAUUUUACGAGAUUUGCCAAAUUGGUGUUUUUCUGGUAGCCGCUGGCCUUUUGUUAUUCUCUGCAUGGUAAGAAAAGAAAAAAUAUAAGGCUAAUAUUAGGAGACCAGUGUACAGGUAUUAUCCUAUCCCUACCCUAUAUUUCACAUUCGUCAACAACCCCUUUUUCCCAAUUUCCCAAUCCUCUUUCUCCUUGCUAUUCACAGAACAAAAAACCCGGGCUCAAAGAGCAUAGGCAGAAAUAACCGCUUUCAUUGCUACUGCUCCUCUGGGGCUAUAAAUAUUCACAUUGCCUCCCAUUGCUCUGCCUUCCACUUCCUCAAGAACAAUUUUAUACUCUUCCUCUGCAUAUAGCGGACUUGUCGCCCGAUACUCAAUGGAUCGAGGAACAAGAACCUCACCCCUCCUCCCCUGAUUCUCCAGCUGCGCACUCCUUACAUCUCGCCAGAGGUCCAACAUGGCGAGGAGAUUGAGGGGCCCAUGUACAACUAGGCCAGCAUGCCCCUCGAUAGUCUGUGCCCAGGGGAGGGAGUAGUGGAUUUUAUGCCCGUUGAAUGUAAGCGCUGAGAAGCGCUGGAGGGUGACGGCUGAUUGGCAGACAGUGCGAGUGUGUGUGACACGGUUUUUUUCUUUCAAGGUCGAGAAGGUGGGUUGCACGGUAGAUUUGGGUGCGGUGGAGAUGGCGGGAGGAGCAUUGGCGAAUGUUGCUGCGGAUGUUUUGGAUGAUGGGUCGAGCUUGAGUGCUUCUCGGAAUAUCCAGUUUCUAGAUUUGUUUUAAUUAUAUAUAUUUAUUUAUUUUCAUGGUUAGUAUAUCGUUUCGUUUCGUUUCCGCUUCCCGCGCUCCUAUAUCAAGCCGUCACAAACACACGGGCAGAUGGAAUCUCAAAGUCCUUCAUGGAGAAUUUUCUUCCUUUUUCCAUUUCCUUCUUGGGAAACUCACCUUCUAUCCACAAGCGCAACACCAUGCUCGUUCUCGAACACCUUCUCCACCCCAACAACCACCAUCUCCUCCCCAGUCGCCUUCACAACCUUAGCCUCCGCACUUAACACCCGCGUUGUCUCCUGCACCUCCUGUCCCACCCUUAGCAAAUUUACUUUCCCAUCCUGCCCGAGUGGCCACCGCACCUCCCCGCCGGCCCACAUGCGCCUUGUAAACGGCGGCUCUGGGUUGUAUGACGUGUCGGUGCCAUCCAGACCCAGCUCGCCUUCCAAGAACGCGGGUGUAAAGUAUACCAGGUGGUAGCCGGGGGGGAUCGGAGUGCCAGCUUCGGGGGCCCUGGCGUUGGAUAGUGCUGGGCUUCCUGGGUAGAGAGAGCGACGAUUCAAGGUCAGGGAGAGGAGUUGGACUUGGUUCCCGUCAAGGAUCUGGGUGCGGGUUUGAGGGGGGAGGGAUUGGAAGCGCGAGAUGAAUUUGGAGGCGAUGGCAGAGGCGGCGGGGGCAGGGUUAGUAGAGAUUGCUGUAUGGGAAGCGCCGGGGGAGGAUGAGGGAGAGGGGUCUUGAAAGUUAGCUUGGGAUGUUGAUAGUUGUCGCCACGACCUGUUAUAUGUUCCCCCGUAACAGCGAUGGAUGCGGUGGAAGAGAGGGGAUAGCCGCGACGGUGAAGCGGAGGAGCAAAAUAGCGACGAAGACAUGGUAUUUCAAAAUGACAGGAAGCUGUUUGACGCGCUUCGGUUGGAGAAG
Molecule: small RNA, 2268 nt
Filed under: Histoplasma capsulatum var. duboisii H88
Lineage: Eukaryota; Fungi; Ascomycota; Eurotiomycetes; Onygenales; Ajellomycetaceae
Description: Histoplasma capsulatum H88 hypothetical RNA
Source: RNAcentral